Long non-coding RNA from Glycine soja, 313 nucleotides. RefSeq lists it as uncharacterized. The record is from RefSeq and is a predicted model, not a curated record. The transcript is spliced from 2 exons. NCBI's taxonomy places the organism in Eukaryota, Viridiplantae, Streptophyta, Magnoliopsida, Fabales, Fabaceae.
UAGACAAGAAUAUGGCUCGCUCACUUGUCUCAAUGAUUUCGCUGAAUGUGAUCCUUGCACUAGCAGCCAUGGUCAUUGUUCUAUUUUCUCUUGGUGUUAGCAGCAAACUGCCGCCCACUUGUUAUGGAGCAUGCGCUGAAUUUCCUGACUGUACUGCCCACUGCAAAAUUUUAGGCUUACUGACAGGGAAAUGCCUUCAAGAUUUCUGCUGUUGCUUUGGUUAAGAAUUUUUCUUGAUAUGGUUGUAAACAAACAAUGUAUUUUCUUGAAUGAUUAUUAGUUUCAUUGCUGGAAAUAAAAAGCAUUAUGAGAA